RNAcentral lists this long non-coding RNA (1788 nucleotides) under Sus scrofa (pig). RNAcentral's name for it is "lncRNA (ENSSSCG00065033616.1)". Lineage: Eukaryota; Metazoa; Chordata; Mammalia; Artiodactyla; Suidae. The record is from RNAcentral.
GAAGGUGGGAGGGAGCCCAUGGGGCCUGAGUCUGGAUGGAGGUAAGGAAUGGGAAGCCAGCCAGGUGCUUUGGGGCAGCUGAGUGGACGUCCCCAUAAGAGAUCAGUAGCCCAGGUCCACUGGCAGCAAUGACGGAGGGAUGAGGGUUCUGAAUGGAGGGGCGAGAGGCCCCCUGGAGAAUUCACCCUAGUCAGCCUCUGAGCCAUCCCAACAUUUGUCCACUCUGUUCCUUGACUUCCAGCCAGUGGGGGGGUGGGGUGCAGGUGGACAAGGCACUUCACUGAGUGGAGGACUCACCAAGAGUAGCAGACAGGAAUGAGGAAAGGGGGAGGGGCGCACCCUCCUCGGCUGUAGUCACCUUGGGGUCAGCGUCAGGCGCAGGUGGGCCUGCAGGUGUGGAUGUGCCUUGGGGAUCCACUUCCAUCCACUGAGGUCACCUACCCUGGUCGGGACUGUGACAAGGGCCACUCAGGGUGGAAGGGCUGGACACUUCCGUGGAGGACUUGAUGGUCUGUUGACCAAUGUGCUCAGAGAACGCUGCUGUGGGCACUGGGGGGACAAGGCAACAGAGCCCUGGAGUGAGAUUCUUGUCUGCUGCAGCCCUGGGAUCCAGUGACCACAGUGAUGGACAGUGACCAGAGCUCAGCCAUUCAGUCAGGUCAUGCUCACUUCCAGUCCACUGACCACUGAGCCCUGUGGUCACACCCAGGAAAGCCUCACAUCCUGGUCCUCUAACUACUGGCCCCUGAAAUCACCCUCAGGACCCCUUCAUUUCUUCAUUUCCCUAUCCUCUGGCCACUGGGAACUGUGGUCCCACUCAGGACAACUUCACCUCCUUUCCUCUGACCACCGGACCCCGUGGUCACAAGUAGCACUCCUCAUGUCCUGUCCUCUGACCACUGGAUGCCACGGUCACAGGCAGGAGGUCCUCAAGCCCCCUGUGAGGGCCUGGUCAGCCAGGAGGAUCUGGCAACCCCCAGCUGGGCAGUGAGAUCCCCACAGUGUGAGUCCAUCUGGAAGUGGGGGUUGCAGCCGGUGCUGGGAUGGGGGCAGAUCAGCAAUGGGAGGUAGCUCCGCCCACACCCGCAGGAGCGGGAGUUUCCAUCCAGUCACAGCCCAGCGUGUUGGAUGACUGCGCAGGCCCCCUGUGGGAGGAGAGAUGCUAGGGGAGGCAGAGCUGCGGGCCGAGGCCGAAGACGCUGCGGGCUCGGAGGUCGCAGGUUCUACCCAAAGUUCACUCUUCCACUUCCAUCUAAGCUGCUUCUUCCUGUGUCCAACGUCUGUUUCAGGGAGUGGACCACAGGUAGAGCCAGGAGCUGAGACACACACUGUAUCAGUGUUGAAUCGUGAACUGGCCAUUUUCAAGCCCCUGACUGAUGGGGGUUUAAGACUGGUGGGGGUUUAAGAGAGAGACGCUGGCGCUGAUGAAUGAAUGUCAACUUCGCUGGCAUUAUGGUGGGCAGCUGGGCUAAUCCCUGCGCUGUCUUCGCUCAAGACACCCAAGGAAAUUUCCUUCUUGCCAUUCGAGGUGAGCAUCUUUUUUCAGUACAGGGCCAGGGUAUGGCAGCCUGACCAAAACCAGAAUUGAUAUAUUAAGCAGGGUGGAUUGGUAUCAUUUAGUAAGCUCUCUGGGAGUUCCCUCAUGGCUCCUAGGCAUAAGAGUCUCUCUCUUUCUCUGUGCUGUGACUGUGGUAAGAACUGUGUUGGGAAAUCAAACCCUGGCCAGACCACAUCCCAGUGUCACAGGUGGCCCCCAAAUUAAUACAUAAAUAAAGAGUUAUUGAAAUG